AGGGAGGGAGAGAAAGGGAGGGAGGAAGGGAGAGAGAGAGAGAGGGAGUCUGUUGACUCAUCAGUGUCCUCUUUCUGCACUGUAAAAAAUACAACUUGCCUUUAGUACUGCCAAAUAACUUUUCUGACUAAACAGAACUCAAAUAAUCAAAUAGUGUAGUAAAACUCAUUAUAUCAACUUUUCUCAACUAAUUUGGCAAGUUCACCUAACAAACUUAAGAAACUGAGUUGACUCAACUUGUAUAAUUAAGUAUCUAGUAAGAGAGAAGUUUCCCAAAGUUCACUGAACUUCUUAGUCAAGUUGGCGCAAGCGCAUUGUUUCCUAACGUAUCAAGGCGACCUGCGGCAUUGCACGCUUGUCAGGAGGACAGAAGCUUUCCCUACCUGUAUGCAGCUGAGCCGAUGACCAUACAACAUCAUUGUCAAAGACUCUUCUGUUGCUAUGCAAUGUAAGCAGUGUCCAUGUAGAGACCCUCCUGACCCAUUACUGGCUUCAUCACGGUCACCAGGGAAAAAGCUGGCCCUGCCUCCACCCCCAGUGUGUGUGUAUUUUUAAGACUUCAGGAUACAGAUGCUGAGGAGGACUAGAGGCAUGAAAAUUGGAAUCUUGACCGUCAUUGAAGACGACCUCGUCAUGAAACACCGGACACUGUCACCAAUAUCGCCAUCGCCCUGGAAGAGACUGUUGUUCUACAGGACAUCAAGGAUCUUCCAUCUGCACUGGCCUACCUAUUCGGACUCCUGCAUGGCAUUAAUAUGUUACCCGAAAGAACUGAAAUAUACGUUCGAGGUGUUGCAAAAGAUUUUCCUGGGCCUUGAUGCUGGCAGUUGUUCUGCAAGAACGCAGUCUUUCAAGAUGAAGCUGCAUGCCCUUGGGGAUUUAACAUAGGGGUGCCAAUACUUAUGACCCCUGUAUUUUAAGAAAGAACAUUUAUUUAUUUAUGAUACAUUAUUCAUUCACAAAGAAAAUUGAAAAGAAAA
Alosa sapidissima (American shad) is the source of this 980-nucleotide long non-coding RNA. RefSeq lists it as uncharacterized. The transcript has 3 exons. The record is from RefSeq and is a predicted model, not a curated record. Lineage: Eukaryota; Metazoa; Chordata; Actinopteri; Clupeiformes; Clupeidae.